RNAcentral lists this ribosomal RNA (738 nucleotides) under Pichia kudriavzevii. RNAcentral's name for it is "partial 18S ribosomal RNA". The stretch from base 404 to 556 matches the Rfam family "5.8S ribosomal RNA". Lineage: Eukaryota; Fungi; Ascomycota; Pichiomycetes; Pichiales; Pichiaceae. The record is from RNAcentral.
CUCCCCCUGCCAUGGGAAUUUUGUACAAGUUUCCGUACGACACGUGUGGUAGGAUCACCUGAGGAAGGAUCAUAAUAGAUUUGACGAUAGUUUAGAGACGGAUGGGUAGAGAGACACCGUAAUGUGACAGGCGGCGCUGGACUGAGGCGGGGAUACGGUUUUUUGUCAAUUUUUGUAGGUGAAUCUAGGAAGGAUCAUUAUAGUAGUAUUUUUCUAGCGGUUAAUUACGCGGUCAUACCGUCGUGGAACAAAUUAAACUAUCACGAACCUUCCGUAGGUGACCUGCGGAAGGAUCAUUACUGUGAUUUACUACUACCCUGCGUGAGCGGAACGAAAACAACAACACCUAAAAUGUGGAAUAUAGCAUAUAGUUGACAAGAGAAAUUUAAGAAAAAACAAACAAAACUUUCAACAACGGAUCUCUUGGUUCUCGCAUCGAUGAAGAGCGCAGCGAAAUGCGAUACCUAGUGUGAAUUGCAGCCAUCGUGAAUCAUCGAGUUCUUGAACGCACAUUGCGCCCCUCGGCAUUCCGGGGGGCAUGCCUGUUUGAGCGUCGUUUCCAUCUUGCGCGUGCGCAGAGUUGGGGGAGCGGAGCGGACGACGUGUAAAGAGCGUCGGAGCUGCGACUCGCCUGAAAGGGAGCGAAGCUGGCCGAGCGAACUAGACUUUUUUUCAGGGACGCUUGGCGGCCGAGAGCGAGUGUUGCGAGACAACAAAAAGCUCGACCUCAAAUCAGGU